UGAAGCGGCAACAAGCUCAAAUUUGAAAAUCUGGCCUUCGGGUCCGAGUUGUAAUUUGUAGAGGAUGCUUUUGGUGAGGUGCCUUCCGAGUUCCCUGGAACGGGACGCCAUAGAGGGUGAGAGCCCCGUCUGGUUGGAUACCGAACCUCUGUAAAGCUCCUUCGACGAGUCGAGUAGUUUGGGAAUGCUGCUCUAAAUGGGAGGUAUAUGUCUUCUAAAGCUAAAUACCGGCCAGAGACCGAUAGCGCACAAGUAGAGUGAUCGAAAGAUGAAAAGCACUUUGAAAAGAGAGUUAAAAAGUACGUGAAAUUGUUGAAAGGGAAGCGCUUAUGACCAGACUUGGACUUGGUUGAUCAUCCUGGGUUCUCCCUGGUGCACUCUUCCAGUUCAGGCCAAACAUCAGUUCGCUGCGGGGGAUAAAAGUUUUGGGGAAUGUGGCUCCCUCGGGAGUGUUAUAUCCCCAUUUCAAA
Molecule: ribosomal RNA, 470 nt
Filed under: Calonectria cerciana
Lineage: Eukaryota; Fungi; Ascomycota; Sordariomycetes; Hypocreales; Nectriaceae
Description: partial large subunit ribosomal RNA
Rfam family: Eukaryotic large subunit ribosomal RNA
Source: RNAcentral